This 63-nucleotide small RNA is filed under the name uncultured Planococcus sp. RNAcentral describes it as "Bacillaceae-1 RNA". It matches the Rfam family "Bacillaceae-1 RNA". The record is from RNAcentral. Lineage: Bacteria; Bacillati; Bacillota; Bacilli; Caryophanales; Caryophanaceae.
UAAGGAAGGAAACCUAAGUACGCGACUUCCUGUCGCAGCGGUUACCUGAUCCACAUCCUGUGG